CGAACGGGUGAGUAACGCGUGAGGAACCUGCCUCAAAGAGGGGGACAACAGUUGGAAACGACUGCUAAUACCGCAUAAGCCCACGGUGCCGCAUGGCACAGAGGGAAAAGGAGCAAUCCGCUUUGAGAUGGCCUCGCGUCCGAUUAGCUAGUUGGUGAGGUAACGGCCCACCAAGGCAACGAUCGGUAGCCGGACUGAGAGGUUGAACGGCCACAUUGGGACUGAGACACGGCCCAA
This 237-nucleotide ribosomal RNA is filed under the name uncultured bacterium. RNAcentral describes it as "partial 16S ribosomal RNA". It matches the Rfam family "Bacterial small subunit ribosomal RNA", at positions 99 to 334 of the family's 1533-position model. The record is from RNAcentral.